AGUCGCCGAGCCGGUCAGCAGCGUGCACGGAGAUCUUCACUCUGCGCCCAGCCCCGGGACACAGGUGCAGAUCUCCAGCGGAGCACUGCGGAGUGCGCGCCGUCGAGCACUAGGGAAUCCUAGACGGAGGACUUGGUCCAUUCCACGCAGUCCCAGGCAGGUCCGCAGCGGAGGGACGCAGCGGUCUCCAACUCCUGGUCACGACUUCGGCGACCCUCCACCCCCUGAGAGACCUGGUCCCACGGAGCUGUCCCCCCAGGAGCCGCAGCGGGAAUAGCAAAGCAAAGGGGACCACUCAGCCCCCAGGAGGAGCCCUGAAGCAAAAAGGUUGCUGCGGGGAGCCACGUUCCCUCUGGUUCACCUCGAAGCCCAGGAGCUCCGGUCCCUGGACCAAGGAGUGAACAGACCUGAGGAAGAGGUGCAAGCUUAAAGUGUUGCUGCCAGACCUUUCUUCUCUUCUAAUCACUUGAAAAUAUUGGCUAUUUCCUUCUGACCCCCAUGGUUUCUUUUAAAAAAUUUGCUGUUGUUUGAAUUAUUUUUCUCUACAGGUAUUGACUGCUGCCUCAUGAAGGCUGGUCCUGUCUCUAUAGUGAAUAUUGUGCACCUCAGGGUAGAAUGGAGAGCAGAAGACUUCAAAUCAGGCAGUCUGGGUUCAGACCCCAAUUCUAGUGCUAAAUAGCUACGUGACUUUAGGCCGAUUGUGUGUGACUUCCCUGAGCCCCAGUCUCUUUGCCUGCAAAAUGAGAAAAAUUAUAACAAUGUCAUCGGUUGUUCUGAGGAUUCUGAGAGGAAUUAGUAGGAGAGAGAACUAAGAAGCUGCGGGCCUCUACAGAGCCAUUCAACUGGCAUUUCGGAAGAUGUUGCCCAUCAGAGUCAGACCUUCUUAGCAUCUUCCGGCUGGGCCCAAACUUCCCAAGACCAUUUGGACAAGGUCAUCUCUAUCCCACCAUGGCCUCCUCCCAGAGGAGGAGAAGAAUCAUGCUGUUACAGCAGAACCGAAGAUUUGGGCAAGGGAGCUAAUGAUUAUGUUCUGCGUCAGGUCAGAGAUGGGCUGGGAAAGCCACUCCAAAGCCAAGACAAGCAGUUUCCUGGAAAAAGAAGGCUGCGCGGAGCCCAGAGUGGCCUGGAUCCUGCCUCAUUUCCUGGACCAGCUCCUUAGGUGGUUACUGGAUUGCCAAUAAAGCAGAGCUUAUUAAAGUCAACGAGCUCAGGCUUCAUCGCCGCCAUGGUAUCCAAGCACCAGUCUGUCUGGGAUUUCAUUUGCCAGAUGGACAAAGGAGAGGUUGUUCCAAUACAUAUCCUGAGUGGUGGGGGUGGGGAGAGAAGGGGAAGAAUGCUCUCUAGAGAAUUCUCUUUGUCCUCUGAAGUAAAUAGAGAUCAUGUCUUCCCCAGCCACACUCAGUGAUCUGAAUCUCUUGGACUGUGGAUUUUUCCUUUACCUGCUGUGAAGCCUUGAAAAGUAUGAAUUAGCUUGAUAAUGAUCCUCUAAAGAUGUUCAAGAGUUAAAGACGUGUUUAAGUUCUUCAGGCAAUCCAAUAUGACUACGGGUUUCCAAAAAUUUGAAGGAAACUGAAAAUCAUAGUUCCCAAACCAGAUAUUUUCCGGUGUCCAGAUGUUCACUGGCAUGCAAACCAAAUGUCUGGAUUAUGAGCUCCUUUUUUCAUUUCUUUUUAUCAGCUUACAUCCAGAUGUUGGAUCCAACUGGUCAGAGGCCUGGGGCAGAGACAGAAAUCAAAUCUAGGGUGUUCAUCUAGAGUCUCCUGCUCCUCCAUUCCUGCUUCCUCCUCACGCUGCCCCCACAUCCUCCCCAACUCACCUUCAUGCUACAUCUCGGCAAAUACAGCUCAUAUCCAGGCACGGUGCAGCCCUUGACAGCUGGGUCCGCAAAGGCAGAUCGGGUAUAUCUUUAAAGAAAAGUUAUCUUAACCAUUGAGAAGCCUUCCUUCCUCAGAGGAGAGCACCUCCCCAGCAGACCUCCGAGGAGACCAAGGGCAGGACAGGAAGGGUGAAAGGAAGUUUCAGGACUGCAGGAAAUAAGAGCUUGGAGGUCAAGGGAGAGAUCAGAUAAAACAUGAAUCUGAUCAGCAUCCUAGUGGUCUAGAGUGGAGACAAUCUGCGGAGUCAACCUCAGUAAGGACACACAUAGAGAAGAACCAAAGCCUCUAAAGACGAAGCUGAGAAGUGUACGGUCGUAGAAGACUCGUGUCUGUUAUUCUUAAAAGCUCAAGGAGAUGUUCUGCCAAUUGAAUGGAAACUGUCCAUAGUGGGGAGCAGAGAGCCUCAUCUUUUCUGGAACUGAACAUCCAUCCUUAAGGCCAGAUUUCUCCCAUCACCAACUUUAACUCCUGCCCUAGCCCUCUCUCUUCCUUUUCAAAACCCUCUCCACCCAGGAAGGGAGAUUCUGGAGCCAAGACUGUACCAGCCACACCUCCCCAGAGUUGUUAAGGAAGGAACUCGAAGCCAGGGGUGGUCUUCUGGCAAGCACCCCCACUACCAGUAGCAGGACAGAUGUGUUUCUAAUGGACUACACUAUCCCCGGAGGUCACAUGAUUCAGGCUGCCAAGGGUACCUGCCCUUGGGAAAUCAACUCCCGAAGAUAAAUUGGGAUUGGGUCCUGAGAAGAUCCAUGGAAGCCCAGAGGACCCUGCCUCUCUCUGUUGCUUCAUGCUGUAGAGGCAGUACUGGGGAGGGCCUGCCCCACAUCCGGCAGGGCAGCUGGAACCAUGUGUUUGAUGACACUCUGCUCCCUCAAUGUGGAGCCUCAUCCUCAUCUCACAGUCUAGCAGGCCUCUGGUGGGUUAGGCUUGUCUCACCCAGUGUGUGAGUUUUUUUGGAAGUGACCUGAUUUUGGAGUUUCCCUCCAAGCCUUUCUCAGGUACAUGCUUUCUCUUUUAUUCUGUCUUCUUUUUUUGAUCUUCUUAAAUCUGAUUUUCUCCUUUUUCCCUCUCUUGUCUCCAUCUUUUUUCCAGUCUCUCGCUUCUCUUUAUUUCUCCCCAUAUUUCACUCUGUUCUCUCACCCCAACCUUUCCCUUCUGUUUCUCUCCCUCCCUCUCUUCCCACCCCCUGCCUGGCCUUCCAUAUAUCAAGCAGAGUUUUAUCACCUUAUGCAGGGGCAGCCCUGCCACCUGCCAUAAAGUUGAUAGGCUAAUGACAUUUUGUGGAUAUUGCCAUGUCACAAGUCCAGGACAGCAUCAAAAAUAGCCCUGAUGUCUAAACCACUUCAGCUAUCUUUUUUAUUUUUAAAAUAAAUACAUUCACAUGCUUUUAAGAAACUAUAAAAAUAUAUAAAGUAAAAAGAUCUUUCUCUCACACUGUCUCCACCUCUCCUGGUCUCACCGUUGUGCUUAGGGGAAACCAUUGUGAUUAGUUUCUCCUGUGUCCUUCCAGAGUGUCUUUAUGCAAAUGAAAAUUAUUGUGAUAAUAUAUUCCUAUUUUCCCCCUUACUACACAAAAGAUAGACUACCAUAAUCCCAUUCUGCACUUUUUUUUCACUUGAUAAUAAAAACAUGAUUUUAUUAA
This 3519-nucleotide long non-coding RNA is filed under the name Homo sapiens (human). RNAcentral describes it as "HSALNT0390452". The record is from RNAcentral. Lineage: Eukaryota; Metazoa; Chordata; Mammalia; Primates; Hominidae.